This 31-nucleotide non-coding RNA is filed under the name Mus musculus (house mouse). Lineage: Eukaryota; Metazoa; Chordata; Mammalia; Rodentia; Muridae. The record is from RNAcentral.
UAGGAGAAAGCCAAUGGCCCCUGUUGUGGUC